GAUGAACGCUGGCGGCGUGCUUAACACAUGCAAGUCGAACGGUGAAGGCGGAGCUUGCUCUGCUGGAUCAGUGGCGAACGGGUGAGUAACACGUGAGCAAUCUGCCCCUGACUCUGGGAUAAGCGCUGGAAACGGCGUCUAAUACUGGAUACGAGCUGCGAAGGCAUCUUCAGCAGCUGGAAAGAAUUUCGGUCGGGGAUGAGCUCGCGGCCUAUCAGCUUGUUGGUGAGGUAAUGGCUCACCAAGGCGUCGACGGGUAGCCGGCCUGAGAGGGUGACCGGCCACACUGGGACUGAGACACGGCCCAGACUCCUACGGGAGGCAGCAGUGGGGAAUAUUGCACAAUGGGCGAAAGCCUGAUGCAGCAACGCCGCGUGAGGGACGACGGCCUUCGGGUUGUAAACCUCUUUUAGCAGGGAAGAAGCGAAAGUGACGGUACCUGCAGAAAAAGCGCCGGCUAACUACGUG
Molecule: ribosomal RNA, 468 nt
Filed under: uncultured bacterium
Lineage: Bacteria
Description: partial 16S ribosomal RNA
Rfam family: Bacterial small subunit ribosomal RNA
Source: RNAcentral